This 618-nucleotide ribosomal RNA is filed under the name uncultured bacterium. RNAcentral describes it as "bacterial SSU rRNA". The stretch from base 1 to 525 matches the Rfam family "Bacterial small subunit ribosomal RNA", at positions 338 to 873 of the family's 1533-position model. The record is from RNAcentral.
CCUACGGGAGGCAGCAGUGGGGAAUAUUGCACAAUGGGCGCAAGCCUGAUGCAGCAACGCCGCGUGAGGGACGAAGGCCUUCGGGUUGUAAACCUCUUUUAGCAGGGAAGAAGCGAAAGUGACGGUACCUGCAGAAAAAGCACCGGCUAACUACGUGCCAGCGGCCGCGGUAAUACGUAGGGUGCAAGCGUUGUCCGGAAUUAUUGGGCGUAAAGAGCUCGUAGGCGGUUUGUCGCGUCUGCUGUGAAAACCCGAGGCUCAACCUCGGACCUGCAGUGGGUACGGACAGACUAGAGUGCGGUAGGGGAGAUUGGAAUUCCUGGUGUAGCGGUGGAAUGCGCAGAUAUCAGGAGGAACACCGAUGGCGAAGGCAGAUCUCUGGGCCGUAACUGACGCUGAGGAGCGAAAGCAUGGGGAGCAAACAGGCUUAGAUACCCUGGUAGUCCAUGCCGUAAACGUUGGGAACUAGAUGUGGGGACCAUUCCACGGUCUCCGUGUCGUAGCUAACGCAUUAAGUUCCCCGCCUGGGGGAGGUACGGCCGCGACGACGUAAACGUUAAACGUAAAGUUAAGUACGGCGUUGAGACGUUGCCGAACGGACGACGACGAGGGAGGAGG